RNAcentral lists this ribosomal RNA (198 nucleotides) under uncultured bacterium. RNAcentral describes it as "partial 16S ribosomal RNA". It matches the Rfam family "Bacterial small subunit ribosomal RNA", at positions 328 to 539 of the family's 1533-position model. The record is from RNAcentral.
ACGCUCGACACCUACGGGAGGCAGCAGUGGGGAAUAUUGCACAAUGGGGGAAACCCUGAUGCAGCGACGCCGCGUGAGUGAAGAAGUAUUUCGGUAUGUAAAGCUCUAUCAGCAGGGAAGAAAAUGACGGUACCUGAGUAAGAAGCCCCGGCUAACUACGUGCCAGUAGCCGCGGUAAUCUGAGCGGGCUGGCAAGGC